GCGUUGGUGGCACAGUGGUUAGGACUCUCGCCGACAAUGCAUAUGGUCCGGGGUUCGAUCCCCUGCCAACGCA
Molecule: transfer RNA, 73 nt
Filed under: Trichobilharzia regenti
Lineage: Eukaryota; Metazoa; Platyhelminthes; Trematoda; Strigeidida; Schistosomatidae
Rfam family: tRNA
About the family: Transfer RNA (tRNA) molecules are approximately 80 nucleotides in length. Their secondary structure includes four short double-helical elements and three loops (D, anti-codon, and T loops). Further hydrogen bonds mediate the characteristic L-shaped molecular structure. tRNAs have two regions of fundamental functional importance: the anti-codon, which is responsible for specific mRNA codon recognition, and the 3' end, to which the tRNAs corresponding amino acid is attached (by aminoacyl-tRNA synthetases). tRNAs cope with the degeneracy of the genetic code in two manners: having more than one tRNA (with a specific anti-codon) for a particular amino acid; and 'wobble' base-pairing, i.e. permitting non-standard base-pairing at the 3rd anti-codon position.
Source: Rfam by way of RNAcentral